UACAGAGGUCCCAAGCGUUGUUCGGAUUCAUUGGGCGUAAAGGGUGUGUAGGUGGCGCCGUAAGUCGGGUGUGAAAUCUCGGGGCUUAACUCCGAAACUGCAUUCGAUACUGCGGUGCUUGAGGACUGGAGAGGAGACUGGAAUUCCUGGUGUAGCGGUGAAAUGCGCAGAUAUCAGGAGGAACACCGGUGGCGAAGGCGGGUCUCUGGGCCGAUACUGACGCUGAGGAGCGAAAGCGUGGGGAGCGAACAGG
Molecule: ribosomal RNA, 253 nt
Filed under: uncultured bacterium
Lineage: Bacteria
Description: partial 16S ribosomal RNA
Rfam family: Bacterial small subunit ribosomal RNA
Source: RNAcentral